CCUACGGGCGGCAGCAGUGGGGAAUAUUGGACAAUGGGGGGAACCCUGAUCCAGCCAUGCCGCGUGUGUGAAGAAGGCCCUCGGGUUGUAAAGCACUUUCAGUGAGGAAGAACGCCUGGUGGUUAAUACCCAUCAGGAAAGACAUCACUCACAGAAGAAGCACCGGCUAACUCCGUGCCAGCAGCCGCGGUAAUACGGAGGGUGCGAGCGUUAAUCGGAAUUACUGGGCGUAAAGCGCGCGUAGGUGGCUUGAUAAGCCGGUUGUGAAAGCCCCGGGCUCAACCUGGGAACGGCAUCCGGAACUGUCAAGCUAGAGUGCAGGAGAGGAAGGUAGAAUUCCCGGUGUAGCGGUGAAAUGCGUAGAGAUCGGGAGGAAUACCAGUGGCGAAGGCGGCCUUCUGGACUGACACUGACACUGAGGUGCGAAAGCGUUGGUAGCAAACAGGAUUAGAUACCCGAGUAGUC
This 465-nucleotide ribosomal RNA is filed under the name Vreelandella stevensii. RNAcentral's name for it is "partial 16S ribosomal RNA". It matches the Rfam family "Bacterial small subunit ribosomal RNA", at positions 338 to 795 of the family's 1533-position model. The record is from RNAcentral. Lineage: Bacteria; Pseudomonadati; Pseudomonadota; Gammaproteobacteria; Oceanospirillales; Halomonadaceae.